Molecule: long non-coding RNA, 528 nt
Organism: Gasterosteus aculeatus aculeatus (three-spined stickleback)
Lineage: Eukaryota; Metazoa; Chordata; Actinopteri; Perciformes; Gasterosteidae
Source: Ensembl
GGAGGGCGACGGCGAGGAGGGGCAUCGCCAACGGGCGGCGGCAAACAAGUUUUCUUUGGGCUCGUCUUCUCUCCCCGCAUGCCAAUCACGCUCGGUGCUUCACACGAUCAGGACGGGAAGUCGGCAUGUGCAGGCGCAUCCAUCCACGGCAACAUUCAAAACGCACGCCGCCUGAUCCCCGGAGCAGCAACGCACCGAAAACAACAACGCCACAACCCUUUACCCCCCCCCCUCCCCCACAUUGAAAUUGCCAACCGGCACGGUGGAGAGCAGAUUUCAGCAUCGCAGGCUGAUUCCACCAGCGAAGCAUCAAAACUUCGAAGCCGAAGGCUCUGCAUCCACAACAAACAGAGUCGAGUGCAGGAAACACAGAACCUGUCGUCUGCAGUCAGUGAAGCUCCGGUCCAGACUCCUGCACGAGGCCUCCUGCAGUAGCUUUGCUUACAGUGCCCCCUUCUGUCAUAUGAUACAACCAUAUAUACACAUUGACUCAUAUGCAUAUGUAUGUACACAGCACCAGUCAGUCAG